This 446-nucleotide ribosomal RNA is filed under the name Achromobacter xylosoxidans. Its description in RNAcentral is "bacterial SSU rRNA". It matches the Rfam family "Bacterial small subunit ribosomal RNA", at positions 920 to 1370 of the family's 1533-position model. The record is from RNAcentral. Lineage: Bacteria; Pseudomonadati; Pseudomonadota; Betaproteobacteria; Burkholderiales; Alcaligenaceae.
CCCGCACAAGCGGUGGAUGAUGUGGAUUAAUUCGAUGCAACGCGAAAAACCUUACCUACCCUUGACAUGUCUGGAAUGCCGAAGAGAUUUGGCAGUGCUCGCAAGAGAACCGGAACACAGGUGCUGCAUGGCUGUCGUCAGCUCGUGUCGUGAGAUGUUGGGUUAAGUCCCGCAACGAGCGCAACCCUUGUCAUUAGUUGCUACGAAAGGGCACUCUAAUGAGACUGCCGGUGACAAACCGGAGGAAGGUGGGGAUGACGUCAAGUCCUCAUGGCCCUUAUGGGUAGGGCUUCACACGUCAUACAAUGGUCGGGACAGAGGGUCGCCAACCCGCGAGGGGGAGCCAAUCCCAGAAACCCGAUCGUAGUCCGGAUCGCAGUCUGCAACUCGACUGCGUGAAGUCGGAAUCGCUAGUAAUCGCGGAUCAGCAUGUCGCGGUGAAUACG